Non-coding RNA from Lolium perenne, 2141 nucleotides. The record is from RefSeq and is a predicted model, not a curated record. NCBI's taxonomy places the organism in Eukaryota, Viridiplantae, Streptophyta, Magnoliopsida, Poales, Poaceae.
GGCCCGCGCGCCUAGCGACGGACGUGGGAGCCGGCGGCGGCAGGGCCCGCGCGCCUAGCGACGGUGGCGGCUGGACGCGGCGGUGGCGGGCAGCGCGCGCGCGGCGGCGGCGCGUCCACUGCCGGCGGAGCUCAAGAUCUCCGGCCGCUGGACAAGGAGGGAAGGAGCCUAGCGACGGACGUGGGAGCCGGCGGCGGCAGGGCCCGUGCGCCUAGCGACGGCGGCGGCUGGAGCUCAAGAUCUCCGGAUCGUGGUGGGCGGCGGAUUUCGAGCGCAGGCGACGGCGACCUUGAGCGGUGGGUUCAAUCGCACCUCGCGAUUGCCGGCGUCCUUACAGCGCCACACGAGACAGUGCAGAGGAGGCGGGUGACGACGGUGGUCGAAGCCGCUGGGAUGGAGACGGGUGGAGGUGGUGCUGCAGCAACGCAAAGGGGGCUUCCGCGAACAUGGGAAGUCGCCGACGAACGCGGACUACGGCAAGGGUCCCAUGGCGGCAGCAGGUGGGCGGGCUUGGCGAGCGGUAGGAGCGGAAGAAUGUCUGGUGGUGGAGGCAGGCUGACCGGUGCCGGUCGCGCUCCCUUAGCCAUGCCCUCACUCGUCGUCGUCCUGGUCGCCUCUUCCCCAACUAGAAUCGACUGGCAGAGCAAGGUUUAUUUCACAUGUGUCUCCAGGAUAUCGAUUCAUGGCGAGGCUAAUCCUAGACAGUAAAAGAUGGGAACCAAGAAUGCUUGUAGAAUGAAUUCCUGGGCAUCAUCAAAAGGAUGCGUGCAAUGGCUGAUUACCAACGCUGAUGUAGUAAUAUUGUUGUAACUAUUGCCAAGAAGCUGCUGUAAUAUCAAAUUUGGUGUUGAAAAUGGCGUCGAUUUCUAUGAUGUUUCGUUCGUGAAGGAUGCCAAUGUUAUGCAUGAAUUCAAAGAUUACCUCAAAGGUGGCAUGUGCUGUGGAAUCAAGCAGAUGGGAUGGUGUGUAGCGGAAGGCCGCCUCGGUUGUUGGACACAGCUGCCUACCGAAUGACCAUCAGCACCUACGAGCUCGCUUCAGCCAGAGAUCCUGCAACUGAGUUUAAGAGAAUGAUUGGCAAAGGUGGAGGAGCUCAUGAAGACUAUACAUAAUUCUCACUGUCUUUAUCAAGUAACCGAUCCAAAAAAUCUAGAUGCACACUUCAAAUGGGACCUGAGAUAUAGAAGGACACAGUAGGCAGCUGUUGGUUCAGGAGGCAGACUGGCAGGUGUUGGGAUGCGCCUGUGGAUGAAAAUUUCAUCCGUGGAGAUAGUGUCCAUGGAACCUUCAGAGAGAGUUGUAAUUUUAGAGUUGCUGAAGGAGGCCCUAUCAUCGACCAGUCGAAUGGCUGUCGAGCAUUAUGUUGGAAAUUCUUCAAAGAUUGUAUGGACGGAAGAAGGCGCAGAACAGGGCCCCUUCUCUUAUCCAGAUUUUCGAGGGAAGCAUCCUUCCAUGACAAUGGCUAAAUCAUGUGUUUCUUUCGUCCAUUGAAAGGCAUGGCAGGUUACAUCAUGUUCGCCGGCAUCGAUGCUGACGGGUAGCUCCGCAAGUGGCCAAGUUGCUUCUAUGUAUUGCUGAUAUCAGUAGUGGCCUCGAUGCUUCGAGGAUAGCCAUCUGUGGGGGUAGCAGCCGGAUGUAUGCAAGUGGUGUUUUAGUGAGUACAAGCAUGGGCGGAUCUAGCUCCCAGCGACACCGAGCGGCUGCCAAGGCUGCUGUGGGAAGUUUUUCUUAAAUAGUAGUGUACCUUUUUCAGGACAAUUAUAUGCCCUUCACUUCCCUGGGAUGUAGUUUGAAGUGGCGAGGAACUUGUGAUUAAAUAGACGUCGUAUGCAAUAUGAGGGUGGUGAUGAUGUCACUCUCUACACAGACUGGCAGAAGAUGAAGCGGCUGCCGAUUACCUGAAAUUGUUUUAUUGUGUAGCUUGCUACUAAAUCUAAGACAUCUCUAUUGCUCGGUUCAUUGUAAUUUAGUACUAUUGCCGUAGAGUUUUAUGAUGACAUUAUUGUCACUUUACUUGCAAUAUAGUAUUGUUGCUGCUUAAAAAAAUGCAUUAUUUCUGGGUAUUUCCUUGCCAUUCAUGUAAAUAAUGAAAUAUACCUUUUUAGCGUGAGAUCUACCUUCAAAAUACUUACUACCAUCCA